RNAcentral lists this ribosomal RNA (434 nucleotides) under uncultured bacterium. Its description in RNAcentral is "bacterial SSU rRNA". It matches the Rfam family "Bacterial small subunit ribosomal RNA", at positions 958 to 1392 of the family's 1533-position model. The record is from RNAcentral.
AACGCGAAGAACCUUACCUGGGUUUGACAUACACCAGAAAGCCGUAGAGAUACGGCCCCCCCUGUGGUUGGUGUACAGGUGGUGCAUGGCUGUCGUCAGCUCGUGUCGUGAGAUGUUGGGUUAAGUCCCGCAACGAGCGCAACCCUUAUCUUAUGUUGCCAGCGCGUAAUGGCGGGGACUCGUGAGAGACUGCCGGGGUCAACUCGGAGGAAGGUGGGGACGACGUCAAGUCAUCAUGCCCCUUAUGUCCAGGGCUUCACACAUGCUACAAUGGCCGGUACAGAGGGCUGCGAUACCGUGAGGUGGAGCGAAUCCCUUAAAGCCGGUCUCAGUUCGGAUCGGGGUCUGCAACUCGACCCCGUGAAGUUGGAGUCGCUAGUAAUCGCAGAUCAGCAACGCUGCGGCGAAUACGUUCCCGGGCCUUGUACACACCG